UGGCUCAGGAUGAACGCUAGCGACAGGCUUAACACAUGCAAGUCGAGGGGCAGCGGGGGUGAUGGCUUGCCAUCACCUGCCGGCGACCGGCGCACGGGUGAGUAACACGUAUGCAACCUGCCCGCCACAGGGGGAUAAGCGGAAGAAAUUCCGUCUAAUACCGCGUGACGCGGCGCCGGGGCAUCCCGGUGCCGCCAAAGGGAUUACCGGUGGCGGAUGGGCAUGCGGCGCAUUAGCUAGUCGGCGGGGUAACGGCCCACCGAGGCGACGAUGCGUAGGGGUUCUGAGAGGAAGGUCCCCCACACUGGUACUGAGACACGGACCAGACUCCUACGGGAGGCAGCAGUGAGGAAUAUUGGUCAAUGGGCGCGAGCCUGAACCAGCCAAGUCGCGUGAGGGAUGACGGUCCUGCGGAUUGUAAACCUCUUUUGCCGGGGAGCAAGCGUGCGUUCGUGAACGCGCGUCGAGAGUACCCGGAGAAAAAGCAUCGGCUAACUCCGUGCCAGCAGCCGCGGUAAUACGGAGGAUGCGAGCGUUAUCCGGAUUUAUUGGGUUUAAAGGGUGCGUAGGCGGGAUGCCAAGUCAGCGGUAAAAAUGCGGUGCUCAACGCCGUCGAGCCGUUGAAACUGGCGUUCUUGAGUGGGCGAGAAGUAUGCGGAAUGCGUGGUGUAGCGGUGAAAUGCAUAGAUAUCACGCAGAACUCCGAUUGCGAAGGCAGCAUACCGGCGCCCUACUGACGCUGAGGCACGAAAGCGUGGGUAUCGAACAGGAUUAGAUACCCUGGUAGUCCACGCAGUAAACGAUGAAUGCUAACUGUCCGGCUCGAAUGAGCGCUGGGCGGUACAGCGAAAGCGUUAAGCAUUCCACCUGGGGAGUACGCCGGCAACGGUGAAACUCAAAGGAAUUGACGGGGGCCCGCACAAGCGGAGGAACAUGUGGUUUAAUUCGAUGAUACGCGAGGAACCUUACCCGGGCUCAAACGCAGGAUGACGGGUCCCGAAAGGGGUCUUUCUUCGGACAUUCUGCGAGGUGCUGCAUGGUUGUCGUCAGCUCGUGCCGUGAGGUGUCGGCUUAAGUGCCAUAACGAGCGCAACCCCUGUCCACAGUUGCCAGCAGGUAAAGCUGGGGACUCUGUGGAGACUGCCGGCGCAAGCUGCGAGGAAGGCGGGGAUGACGUCAAAUCAGCACGGCCCUUACGUCCGGGGCGACACACGUGUUACAAUGGCUGGUACAGCGGGAUGCCACGGGGCGACCCGGCGCUGAACCCGAAAACCUGUCUCAGUUCGGAUUGGAGUCUGCAACCCGACUCCAUGAAGCUGGAUUCGCUAGUAAUCGCGCAUCAGCCACGGCGCGGUGAAUACGUUCCCGGGCCUUGUACACACCGCCCGUCAAGCCAUGGAAGCCGGGGGUACCUGAAGUGCGUGACCGCGAGGAGCGCCCUAGGGUAAAACCGGUGACUGGGGCUAAGUCGUAACAAGGU
RNAcentral lists this ribosomal RNA (1480 nucleotides) under uncultured bacterium. Its description in RNAcentral is "16S ribosomal RNA". It matches the Rfam family "Bacterial small subunit ribosomal RNA". The record is from RNAcentral.